AGUGAACGCUGGCGGUAGGCCUAACACAUGCAAGUCGAACGGCAGCACAGUAAGAGCUUGCUCUUACGGGUGGCGAGUGGCGGACGGGUGGGGAAUACAUCGGAAUCUACUUUUUCGUGGGGGAUAACGUAGGGACACUUACGCUAAUACCGCAUACGACCUACGGGUGAAAGCAGGGGCUCUUCGGACCUUGCGCGAUUGAAUGAGCCGAUGUCGGAUUAGCUAGUUGGCGGGGUAAAGGCCCACCAAGGCGACGAUCCGUAGCUGGUCUGAGAGGAUGAUCAGCCACACUGGAACUGAGACACGGUCCAGACUCCUACGGGAGGCAGCAGUGGGGAAUAUUGGACAAAGGGCGCAAGCCUGAUCCAGCCAUACCGCGUGGGUGAAGAAGGCCUUCGGGUUGUAAAGCCCUUUUGUUGGGAAAGAAAAGCAGCAGGUUAAUACCCCGCUGUUCUGACGGUACCCAAAGAAUAAGCACCGGCUAACUUCGUG
RNAcentral lists this ribosomal RNA (492 nucleotides) under uncultured bacterium. RNAcentral describes it as "partial 16S ribosomal RNA". It matches the Rfam family "Bacterial small subunit ribosomal RNA", at positions 29 to 507 of the family's 1533-position model. The record is from RNAcentral.